Molecule: ribosomal RNA, 253 nt
Filed under: uncultured bacterium
Lineage: Bacteria
Description: partial 16S ribosomal RNA
Rfam family: Bacterial small subunit ribosomal RNA
Source: RNAcentral
UACGGAGGGUGCGAGCGUUGUCCGGAAUCACUGGGCGUAAAGGGCUCGUAGGCGGCCAACUAAGUCAUACGUGAAAUCCCUCGGCUUAACCGGGGAACUGCGUCUGAUACUGGAUGGCUUGAGUUCGGGAGAGGGAUGCGGAAUUCCAGGUGUAGCGGUGAAAUGCGUAGAUAUCUGGAGGAACACCGGUGGCGAAGGCGGCAUCCUGGACCGAUACUGACGCUGAGGAGCGAAAGCCAGGGGAGCAAACGGG